This 433-nucleotide ribosomal RNA is filed under the name uncultured bacterium. RNAcentral's name for it is "partial 16S ribosomal RNA". It matches the Rfam family "Bacterial small subunit ribosomal RNA", at positions 29 to 507 of the family's 1533-position model. The record is from RNAcentral.
AACGAACGCUGGCGGCAUGCCUAACACAUGCAAGUCGAACGAGACCUUCGGGUCUAGUGGCGCACGGGUGCGUAACGCGUGGGAACCUGCCCUUAGGUUCGGAAUAACUCCCCGAAAGGGGUGCUAAUACCGGAUAAUGUCUUCGGACCAAAGAUUUAUCGCCUUUGGAUGGGCCCGCGUUGGAUUAGCUAGUUGGUAGGGUAAAAGCCUACCAAGGCGAAGAUCCAUAGCUGGUCUGAGAGGAUGAUCAGCCACACUGGGACUGAGACACGGCCCAGACUCCUACGGGAGGCAGCAGUGGGGAAUAUUGGACAAUGGGCGAAAGCCUGAUCCAGCAAUGCCGCGUGAGUGAUGAAGGCCUUAGGGUUGUAAAGCUCUUUUACCCGGGAUGAUAAUGACAGUACCGGGAGAAUAAGCUCCGGCUAACUCCGUG